UGGUUACAUUUAUUUGCUCUUUGACUAAAAUGUUUAGCUGUAUUAUUGCUAAACAUGCCGUUUUUGAGAAUUUGAUUUUCAACUAGGUUGAGGCAUCCAACCACGCCAUCAAUCCCAGUAAAAACAUUAGGUCACAUCAGCUAGUUUCCUAUCCAUUUAUUUUAUUAUCCAUGAUCCCAUGCGGGCGGGGACGAGAAACAUGAUAUCAAUUUUCAUUGGCCUAAUAUAGCGGACUGUCAUGAAUAGCCAACACUGACUGGUCCAAUUUAAAAUUUGCAUUAUAACGACUGCAUGGCAUGACGACAGCGAAAUAGCAAAUAUUUCUUAUUUUCUUGAUUUGAUGAUUUCUUGCAAAUAUAUUUUAUUUUUGCAAGAUUUUGUAAAUUUCAAAAGCUUUUUGACAAAAUAAAGGCGAAAGAAUUGCUAAAAUAAGGGAGAAAAGGCGCCGACGUUAACGAAGGUAAGUUUGUUUUAAAAAUUGUUUGCAUUGUUUGCUUUUAAUAUACUGUAAUUACUCGCUGGGGCACUGUGCCCCGGACGAGUAUAGGUUUCGGCAUUCAUUUUUAGCGCAAAAUAGAAUAUUAAUGAGCUGCCUAAUUUCCCCCCAAUUAUCCAUAAGGCUCCUGCCAAUUUUACCCAAAUUAUCCAUAAAUAGCCCUCCAUUUUGAGGAAAUUUCGGGAAAAUUGAACAAUUUACAAGGAAUUUCGCAUGGAAACAGCAACCUUCGCAAAUCGCAAGUUUAUAAAAGUUUAUACGUUUGACUGCGCUGCUUUAUAUUUUGAGAAGAAAGCUACACCGUUCGAUUCAGUGUAAGAACUUGUACUAACAGAUGUCAAGUGUACUACUAAACACCCGUAUUCUAGCGAUUUAUGGCCUUUGAAAAUGAAGCGAAAUUGUAUUGUUGAAAAAUCGCUCGCAGUACGUAUUGUUGAUCACAAAUCACUCGCACUACGUUUGUCCACAGGUUUGUUCUUGUAUUUGUAAUGCCUAAUGGCGCAAUAAGGAUAAAAAUACCACCGUUCGAUUCAGCGUAAGAAAUUGUACUUACGGAUGUCAAAUGUGUUACUAAGCACCAGUAUUCUAUCCUUUGAAUUGAAAAUCAAGCGAAAUUGUAUUUGUUGACAAAUCGCUCGCAGUACGUUUCAUAGUGUAUUUGUAAUGCCUAAGGGAAAGUACAUUUAUUAUGCCGAGGGGGGGGGAUGAAGAUGUUAAGGGGGGCUCCGAAAUAUUUUCUGGCAUUAAAGGGGGGGCUCUGAAAGUUCUUGAUAUACUGAAGGGGGGGCUCUAAACUUUUCAAAGGUUUGACCCAUAGAUAUCUCAUAUACACUAGAUAGCGCAUCCCACCCUGUAGGCAGGCGAAAAUUGAAGCCUGAUCGCAGUCGCAGUUUACGCGCGGCGGCCAUAUUGGUCGUUCCCACGGAGCGUGAUAAUUUGUAUAUUUUGUAUUGCGGAAAUGGACAAAGGUGACAAUAAAUCCUCUUUUAUGCAGUCAAUUUUGGUUUUUCAAGUGUGCAACUUGUUGUAAAUGAUGCCAGAUCGUUGGAGCUUCAUAUUGUGAAUAACGGGUAGGCAGAAUUUAAUUUUUUAUUUCGAAAAUAUCAAUAUUUGUCGACCCGUAUGAAGGGCGCCCAUAGGACAAACCUUAUGAACAAACCAUCAUUGUUGAUGUAUAUAUAAAUAUAGUUCCACCAAUUCCAAAUAAAACAUUUUGAGCCAUCGCCAUUGCUUCAUGGCAAAAUUGUGAAUGUAUUUGCAUAUUCUUUUGUAAAAGACAGCGACACUGAAAAACAUAUUUUAGUCACAGUUUAUCAAUGGCAAAAAUAGACUUAAGGAGGCUCCCUACAGUUCCGUGCGGGAUGUUCGCGCGACAAGUACGUGAACUAUCCCACGCAACUGCAUGAUCAAAACAAAACAAAAAUUGACCAUGCUUUUUUUAAAAAUAAAGCUAUUUCUGAAAGGUUUCUAAUGGAAAAAAGAGUUGAAUAAUACUUCGUUUUGAGUGCCAAAUCACUUGCGAGUCUAUACAGCAAUUUACAUAUGAUACGAAUAUCACUAGACCAAAAAAUAGCUACGAAACAAUAUUUUUAAUUUUUUUUAUACACUGUCAACUGACUCAACUGUAAAACAUUUGCAAAAUUGCAUACAAACGUUUAAAAAGUUGUUUACUUCUCAAGAAAACGUUCACGUUUUUAGUUGUGUUUCUACAAGAUUAAAGUGAUUAUAUGUAAACAGAAAAAUAUUUCAGUUUCAUAGCCUAAUUGUUCAUUUUUAAUAGCAAAAAGUACAAAACCGAACAUGAAACAAAAAAACACGUCCACCUGUUAAUAGGCUGUUACAGCUCAUAGAUUGAGUAAACGACAGGAUUCAAUUAGCUUCAACCUUGUUUUCAUCGAUUUAAUCCUUCACAAUAAUCCUUGGCUGUCCAUAGCACUCAAAUAAAUCGAAAAGUUGACAAAAACAAAACAGUAAAAACAACAUUGCGGCUCGAUUUUGCUGAAUGAAAACUCGUUCUGCGCCCGCGUACAAUCUUUUACUAGUCAGCGACGCUUUUCAAUAGGGGAAUUUCUCGAGUUACACGAGGCUAUUUUCAAACUUUAUUUGCAUUUUACUCAUUAGUUUCAUCGCUGACCUAUCUUCAAAUUUUGACCACGAAUUUAUUUUGCGGUAAAUUUUAUAAAUUUCAAAUUUUAAAAAAAUCUGUAGUGUGGAAAUUUCGCAAUAAAUUUUUCGCUUUUAAAAAAAUCACACACUACAGAAUUUUUUUAAACUUUCACCACAGUUGCAGAGCAUCAUUCCUUAUUGAUAUAUGAAAUAAAAAAGAUAGGUCACCAACAUCGUUUUUGAGAUAGCGGCACAUUUAAGGGUUAAAUUGGAAGGCUUUAUGCUGUCGUCAUGUUGCCAUGGGAACAUUGACAUCGUCGAAAUCUAGUUCCAAAUAUUCCUUUGGUGACCAAUAUUGCCACCAAGUCGAAAAGAAUUCGCGUUCUGCACGAAUAAGCCUGUUUUACGGAAUUAUUGCUUAAACAAGAAUAACUGUAGGGAGCCACCUUAAAAUCUUAAAUAGUCAAUAUAUAAAACAUUGAACCAAAAAUGGUUCUUACUCCUUACUAUUUGUAUAUUUAUUACAUACAUACAUGCAACAUAUCAUAUAUUAUUUUAUAGUUCCAUGGAAUCACAUCAAGAUUAAAAUGUGUUAGAAGAUAGAGAAGAAUAAUUGCAACUUUAAUAGUAUAUUCGCAGGCAAUAUAACAUAAUUGAUAUUGCUUUAUGUAAAUGUAGUUGAUAAUCAAACUUUCUAAAACCUUCAAUUGUAUGAAUGCUUCAAACUAUCUUUAAUAUUUGAUGUUAAGAAAUAUUUCUUUCUGUUGAGUCCUAGACCUUUUGUUUUUAAUUCAAGCAAUCAAACUGCCAAAUUACUGUAAUUAUUAACAGCUAGCAUAGGUCAUUGAUAAUCAGCUGAAUUUUAGAACUGCUUUGGGAAACCCUAUUUUGUAAUGAGACACAUUACUUCUUGCAUUAUUGUAUAUUGUAAGGUCAAUGGGAUAAACUGCUUGAUGCACAGUAGAUUUUAUAAUCUUAAAUAUAGUUGCACUCACUAUUGUAUAAAUAAUUCUAUUGUUAUAAUAAAGUAUUACUUUUGACUUUGU
Paramuricea clavata is the source of this 3648-nucleotide non-coding RNA. Lineage: Eukaryota; Metazoa; Cnidaria; Anthozoa; Malacalcyonacea; Plexauridae. The record is from the annotation of a GenBank genome assembly.